Molecule: ribosomal RNA, 2799 nt
Filed under: human gut metagenome
Description: bacterial LSU rRNA
Rfam family: Bacterial large subunit ribosomal RNA
Source: RNAcentral
AGGGCGCACGGUGGAUGCCUUGGCACUAGGAGCCGAUGAAGGACGGGACUAACACCGAUAUGCUUUGGGGAGCUGUAAGUAAGCUAUGAUCCAGAGAUUUCCGAAUGGGGGAACCCAAUAUCUUUUAUAGGAUAUUACUUUUCAGUGAAUACAUAGCUGAUUAGAGGUAGACGCAGAGAACUGAAACAUCUUAGUACCUGCAGGAAGAGAAAGAAAAUUCGAUUCCCUGAGUAGCGGCGAGCGAAACGGGAAGAGCCCAAACCAACAAGCUUGCUUGUUGGGGUUGUAGGACUCCAAUAUGGUAGUCUGUUAGUAUAGUUGAAGGAUUUGGAAAAUUCCGCUAAAGAGGGUGAAAGCCCCGUAGACGAAAUGCUGACAACACCUAGGAGGAUCCUGAGUACGGCGGAACACGAGAAAUUCCGUCGGAAUCCGCGGGGACCAUCCCGCAAGGCUAAAUACUCCCUAGUGACCGAUAGUGAACCAGUACCGUGAGGGAAAGGUGAAAAGCACCCCGGAAGGGGAGUGAAAUAGAUCCUGAAACCGUGUGCCUACAACAAGUCAAAGCUCGUUAAUGAGUGAUGGCGUGCCUUUUGUAGAAUGAACCGGCGAGUUACGAUUGCAUGCGAGGUUAAGUCGAAGAGACGGAGCCGCAGCGAAAGCGAGUCUGAAUAGGGCGAAUGAGUAUGUAGUCGUAGACCCGAAACCAUGUGAUCUACCCAUGUCCAGGUUGAAGGUGCGGUAAAACGCACUGGAGGACCGAACCCACGUACGUUGAAAAGUGCGGGGAUGAGGUGUGGGUAGCGGAGAAAUUCCAAACGAACUUGGAGAUAGCUGGUUCUCUCCGAAAUAGCUUUAGGGCUAGCCUCGGAAUUGAGAAUGAUGGAGGUAGAGCACUGUUUGGACUAGGGGCCCAUCUCGGGUUACCGAAUUCAGAUAAACUCCGAAUGCCAUUCAUUUAUAUCCGGGAGUCAGACUGCGAGUGAUAAGAUCCGUAGUCGAAAGGGAAACAGCCCAGACCACCAGCUAAGGUCCCAAAAUAUAUGUUAAGUGGAAAAGGAUGUGGGGUUGCACAGACAACUAGGAUGUUGGCUUAGAAGCAGCCACCAUUUAAAGAGUGCGUAAUAGCUCACUAGUCGAGUGACCCUGCGCCGAAAAUGUACCGGGGCUAAACAUAUUACCGAAGCUGUGGACUACACCAUUAGGUGUAGUGGUAGGAGAGCGUUCUAAGGGCGUUGAAGGUCGAUCGUGAGGACGGCUGGAGCGCUUAGAAGUGAGAAUGCCGGUAUGAGUAGCGAAAGACAGGUGAGAAUCCUGUCCACCGUAUGACUAAGGUUUCCUGGGGAAGGCUCGUCCGCCCAGGGUUAGUCGGGACCUAAGCCGAGGCCGAUAGGCGUAGGCGAUGGACAACAGGUUGAUAUUCCUGUACCAGUUGUUUUUGUUUGAGCAAUGGAGGGACGCAGUAGGCUAAGGAAUGCAUGCGAUUGGAAGUGCAUGUCCAAGCAAUGAGUCUUGAGUAGAGUUAAAUGCUUUACUCUCUAAGGACAAGUUGUGACGGGGAGCGAAAUAAUAGUAGCGAAGUUCCUGAUGUCACACUGCCAAGAAAAGCUUCUAGUGAGAAAACAACUGCCCGUACCGUAAACCGACACAGGUAGUCGAGGAGAGUAUCCUAAGGUGAGCGAGCGAACUCUCGUUAAGGAACUCGGCAAAAUGACCCCGUAACUUCGGGAGAAGGGGUGCUGAUGGUAAAAGAUCAGCCGCAGUGAAUAGGCCCAAACAACUGUUUAUCAAAAACACAGGUAUCUGCAAAAUCGUAAGAUGACGUAUAGGUGCUGACACCUGCCCGGUGCUGGAAGGUUAAGAGGAGAGCUUAGCGCAAGCGAAGGUUUGAAUUGAAGCCCCAGUAAACGGCGGCCGUAACUAUAACGGUCCUAAGGUAGCGAAAUUCCUUGUCGGGUAAGUUCCGACCCGCACGAAAGGCGUAACGAUUUGGGCACUGUCUCAACGAGAGACUCGGUGAAAUUUUAGUACCUGUGAAGAUGCAGGUUACCCGCGACAGGACGGAAAGACCCCAUGGAGCUUUACUGUAGUUUGAUAUUGAGUGUUUGUACCACAUGUACAGGAUAGGUAGGAGCCGAUGAGACCGGAACGCUAGUUUCGGAGGAGGCGCUGGUGGGAUACUACCCUUGUGUUAUGAACCCUCUAACCCGCACCACUAAUCGUGGUGGGAGACAGUGUCAGAUGGGCAGUUUGACUGGGGCGGUCGCCUCCUAAAAGGUAACGGAGGCGCCCAAAGGUUCCCUCAGAAUGGUUGGAAAUCAUUCGAAGAGUGUAAAGGCAGAAGGGAGCUUGACUGCGAGACCUACAAGUCGAGCAGGGACGAAAGUCGGGCUUAGUGAUCCGGUGGUUCCGCAUGGAAGGGCCAUCGCUCAACGGAUAAAAGCUACCCUGGGGAUAACAGGCUUAUCUCCCCCAAGAGUCCACAUCGACGGGGAGGUUUGGCACCUCGAUGUCGGCUCGUCGCAUCCUGGGGCUGAAGUAGGUCCCAAGGGUUGGGCUGUUCGCCCAUUAAAGCGGCACGCGAGCUGGGUUCAGAACGUCGUGAGACAGUUCGGUCCCUAUCCGUCGCGGGCGUAGGAAAUUUGAGAGGAGCUGUCCUUAGUACGAGAGGACCGGGAUGGACUUACCGCUGGUGUACCAGUUGUUCUGCCAAGGGCAUUGCUGGGUAGCUAUGUAGGGAAGGGAUAAACGCUGAAAGCAUCUAAGUGUGAAGCCCACCUCAAGAUGAGAUUUCCCAUUUCU